RNAcentral lists this ribosomal RNA (1487 nucleotides) under uncultured bacterium. RNAcentral describes it as "bacterial SSU rRNA". It matches the Rfam family "Bacterial small subunit ribosomal RNA". The record is from RNAcentral.
AGAGUUUGAUCCUGGCUCAGAUUGAACGCUGGCGGCAUGCCUUACACAUGCAAGUCGAACGGUAACAGGUCUUCGGAUGCUGACGAGUGGCGAACGGGUGAGUAAUACAUCGGAACGUGCCCGAUCGUGGGGGAUAACGCAGCGAAAGCUGUGCUAAUACCGCAUACGAUCUACGGAUGAAAGCGGGGGAUCGCAAGACCUCGCGCGGACGGAGCGGCCGAUGGCAGAUUAGGUAGUUGGUGGGAUAAAAGCUUACCAAGCCGACGAUCUGUAGCUGGUCUGAGAGGACGACCAGCCACACUGGGACUGAGACACGGCCCAGACUCCUACGGGAGGCAGCAGUGGGGAAUUUUGGACAAUGGGCGCAAGCCUGAUCCAGCCAUGCCGCGUGCAGGAUGAAGGCCUUCGGGUUGUAAACUGCUUUUGUACGGAACGAAAAAGCUCUCUCUAAUACAGGGGGUGAAUGACGGUACCGUAAGAAUAAGCACCGGCUAACUACGUGCCAGCAGCCGCGGUAAUACGUAGGGUGCAAGCGUUAAUCGGAAUUACUGGGCGUAAAGCGUGCGCAGGCGGUUAUGUAAGACAGAGGUGAAAUCCCCGGGCUCAACCUGGGAACUGCCUUUGUGACUGCAUAGCUGGAGUGCGGCAGAGGGGGAUGGAAUUCCGCGUGUAGCAGUGAAAUGCGUAGAUAUGCGGAGGAACACCGAUGGCGAAGGCAAUCCCCUGGGCCUGCACUGACGCUCAUGCACGAAAGCGUGGGGAGCAAACAGGAUUAGAUACCCUGGUAGUCCACGCCCUAAACGAUGUCAACUGGUUGUUGGGUCUUCACUGACUCAGUAACGAAGCUAACGCGUGAAGUUGACCGCCUGGGGAGUACGGCCGCAAGGUUAAAACUCAAAGGAAUUGACGGGGACCCGCACAAGCGGUGGAUGAUGUGGUUUAAUUCGAUGCAACGCGAAAAACCUUACCCACCUUUGACAUGUACGGAAUCCUUUAGAGAUAGAGGAGUGCUCGAAAGAGAGCCGUAACACAGGUGCUGCAUGGCUGUCGUCAGCUCGUAUCGUGAGAUGUUGGGUUAAGUCCCGCAACGAGCGCAACCCUUGCCAUUAGUUGCUACGAAAGGGCACUCUAAUGGGACUGCCGGUGACAAACCGGAGGAAGGUGGGGAUGACGUCAAGUCCUCAUGGCCCUUAUAGGUGGGGCUACACACGUCAUACAAUGGCUGGUACAAAGGGUUGCCAACCCGCGAGGGGGAGCCAAUCCCACAAAGCCAGUCGUAGUCCGGAUCGCAGUCUGCAACUCGACUGUGUGAAGUCGGAAUCGCUAGUAAUCGUGGAUCAGAAUGUCACGGUGAAUACGUUCCCGGGUCUUGUACACACCGCCCGUCACACCAUGGGAGCGGGUUCUGCCAGAAGUAGGUAGCCUAACCGUAAGGAGGGCGCUUACCACGGCAGGGUUCGUGACUGGGGUGAAGUCGUAACAAGGUA